Molecule: long non-coding RNA, 501 nt
Filed under: Theobroma cacao (cacao)
Lineage: Eukaryota; Viridiplantae; Streptophyta; Magnoliopsida; Malvales; Malvaceae
Description: long non-coding RNA (TCAC_LNC005139)
Source: RNAcentral
CCUGCUAAAAAUAAAUUUCUAGAAAGAAGUUGGUGUUAGUAAUUUUAAUUAGUGUCAAAAAAAUGCCCAUUAAUAUACACUGCAGGCAACAGCCUAAACCAUUGAAUGUAUUCGUCUUCAUGCUUUUUAUUGAAUUUGGAUCUUUUUGAUUGAGCUGUUUGAAGCUGAGCAUGCUCUUGUUCAUGACGAACGGUCACGACCACAGGAUGAUUGGUCCCCAGCAAUAGUCUUGCAGGAUAUUAUACUUCUGCACAUGUGAGUGAAAAAGUAAAACCAACCCAAGCUGGUGCUGGAAAGAAAAGGAGAAAAUACCCUUCUUUGGAUACCUGGAAAAGGCGUAAACAGAUUGUCAACCUUUUUUUCUUUGAUAAAGAUAGUACUGAAAGUUCGAGCUUCUGCUUUCUUAGAUACCUUCCAUGUAGCCAUCUAGUUACGUACUGUAGCUGCCUGAGAAGCCUCAAGCGGUAAGACUGCCACCCCACAUCUAAGUCCAUGUUAAAU